GGCGUCGUCCGAUCCAAACUCCUAUCUGCCGCAGCAGGCUCGCCGCCACACCCACCUCCACCUCCCCUCCUCCCCAUCGUCUCCUCCUGCCCCUAUCCCAUCUCCUACGGCGCUGAAAUCGACAAGUACGUCGCCGGCACCGGCCGUCCGCGGUGUCUGCAAUGCCUCUCCUGCCAACUCCUCCGAUGUAGCAGACCCGCCGCCCAGCAACUCUCCCUCCUCACCUCCGUCUCCUCCUUCCCCUACCCCUAUAGCGUGUGCUGGCAUGCACGACUGGCGGCCCAGACGGCCCAGAUGUCAGUAAUGCCAACAGCAGACAGCACCCGGUGCAGGAGCUCUGGCAGGAAGGCAGCGAAGUCCGCACCGGAGCCAAGAGUGUUCUUCGGCGGGGGCUCCGGCUUGAGCUUUUCUUGGAGUAGCAAUGACGGUUGGGGUCCGAGAAGACACGCGGGGUUGGGAUGAGAAGGGCGCCGGCGAGGGGUUCGGCAGUGGUCAGGUGCUCUAUGCAAUCUGUUGAUGCUCUCAUUGUUAAUCUAUCUAGGCAGGAUGCAUAAGCAAAGCUCUAGAUGUCCACGCUCUAUAUGUAUUGCGCACCUUUUCUGCAGAGCUAAGUAUGGACUUACAAUUUUUCUUAUUGCUGAAAGGAAAUUGUUUCUUCUACAAAUUAAUCGAUGAGUAUUGAGUGUGAAGCAUCGUUCAGUAUCAAAGUCUCAUAGCUUGUCAACAAUCUAGCAGCUUCUUUGCGCAAUUGCAUUAUGCUUACAUGACAAAGGAGUUGAUGCUUGAUUUUUAGAUCUGACUACUACUUUAUGCAAUUAGGCAAAACAUGAAUUAAAGUUUCUGUAUUUAUCCCACUAUUACACUAUUAGGCAAAAGAGGAUUUUAAAUUUACUUUAUUUAUCCCACUAUUACUCAAGUUAUGUUUCGAUAUUAAUGGAUUAUAAGUUGAGACAUCUGAAGGAUAUGGACAUACUCUCCUUGCUUCUGCUCCUUAGCUCUGAAAAUAAACCGUUUGAAGAUUGUGGUGCAGCUCCAGGUCGUGGAUUAGAGGUCCAUGGUAAGGACUACCAGAGAGAAACGUACAUGGUAAGGAGUACCACAGAGAAACGUAUGUGAUGGAGAAGGUGUGCUAAAACUUAGGUGUGGAGAUGUCUGCAUCAAUCUGCACCCAUAUAUCAGGUGAAGUUAAGGAAAAUGAUGACACCCAGAUAUGGUUAGAUGGGACUGUAGCAGCAUCUCAGGUGAAACGUCCAGCGUUGUUUUAUGCAUAGGAAGCACACAGGAAGAAGAUGCAAUGUGGUUGAGAAAAAAAUGCUAUGACUAGAAUUCUUUUGUGGUAGAAUUAGAAAGAAGAUUUAAGGUGGUUAGUUCAAACAUUGGCACCAUGGCUUUAGUUGUCAAAUUUGUGACUUCCUAGAACAGAUACAAAUUUAUUAUGAAUUUCAUAUUAUAGCUGUUAUUUUCAUGUUAACAUGUCGUAGCAUUCAUAUGG
RNAcentral lists this long non-coding RNA (1492 nucleotides) under Triticum aestivum (bread wheat). RNAcentral describes it as "long non-coding RNA (TAES_LNC014003)". Lineage: Eukaryota; Viridiplantae; Streptophyta; Magnoliopsida; Poales; Poaceae. The record is from RNAcentral.